This 1554-nucleotide ribosomal RNA is filed under the name Shigella boydii. RNAcentral describes it as "bacterial SSU rRNA". It matches the Rfam family "Bacterial small subunit ribosomal RNA". Lineage: Bacteria; Pseudomonadati; Pseudomonadota; Gammaproteobacteria; Enterobacterales; Enterobacteriaceae. The record is from RNAcentral.
AAAUUGAAGAGUUUGAUCAUGGCUCAGAUUGAACGCUGGCGGCAGGCCUAACACAUGCAAGUCGAACGGUAACAGGAAUCAGCUUGCUGAUUCGCUGACGAGUGGCGGACGGGUGAGUAAUGUCUGGGAAACUGCCUGAUGGAGGGGGAUAACUACUGGAAACGGUAGCUAAUACCGCAUAAUGUCGCAAGACCAAAGAGGGGGACCUUCGGGCCUCUUGCCAUCGGAUGUGCCCAGAUGGGAUUAGCUUGUUGGUGGGGUAACGGCUCACCAAGGCGACGAUCCCUAGCUGGUCUGAGAGGAUGACCAGCCACACUGGAACUGAGACACGGUCCAGACUCCUACGGGAGGCAGCAGUGGGGAAUAUUGCACAAUGGGCGCAAGCCUGAUGCAGCCAUGCCGCGUGUAUGAAGAAGGCCUUCGGGUUGUAAAGUACUUUCAGCGGGGAGGAAGGGAGUAAAGUUAAUACCUUUGCUCAUUGACGUUAUCCGCAGAAGAAGCACCGGCUAACUCCGUGCCAGCAGCCGCGGUAAUACGGAGGGUGCAAGCGUUAAUCGGAAUUACUGGGCGUAAAGCGCACGCAGGCGGUUUGUUAAGUCAGAUGUGAAAUCCCCGGGCUCAACCUGGGAACUGCAUCUGAUACUGGCAAGCUUGAGUCUCGUAGAGGGGGGUAGAAUUCCAGGUGUAGCGGUGAAAUGCGUAGAGAUCUGGAGGAAUACCGGUGGCGAAGGCGGCCCCCUGGACGAAGACUGACGCUCAGGUGCGAAAGCGUGGGGAGCAAACAGGAUUAGAUACCCUGGUAGUCCACGCCGUAAACGAUGUCGACUUGGAGGUUGUGCCCUUGAGGCGUGGCUUCCGGAGCUAACGCGUUAAGUCGACCGCCUGGGGAGUACGGCCGCAAGGUUAAAACUCAAAUGAAUUGACGGGGGCCCGCACAAGCGGUGGAGCAUGUGGUUUAAUUCGAUGCAACGCGAAGAACCUUACCUGGUCUUGACAUCCACGGAAGUUUUCAGAGAUGAGAAUGUGCCUUCGGGAACCGUGAGACAGGUGCUGCAUGGCUGUCGUCAGCUCGUGUUGUGAAAUGUUGGGUUAAGUCCCGCAACGAGCGCAACCCUUAUCCUUUGUUGCCAGCGGUCCGGCCGGGAACUCAAAGGAGACUGCCAGUGAUAAACUGGAGGAAGGUGGGGAUGACGUCAAGUCAUCAUGGCCCUUACGACCAGGGCUACACACGUGCUACAAUGGCGCAUACAAAGAGAAGCGACCUCGCGAGAGCAAGCGGACCUCAUAAAGUGCGUCGUAGUCCGGAUUGGAGUCUGCAACUCGACUCCAUGAAGUCGGAAUCGCUAGUAAUCGUGGAUCAGAAUGCCACGGUGAAUACGUUCCCGGGCCUUGUACACACCGCCCGUCACACCAUGGGAGUGGGUUGCAAAAGAAGUAGGUAGCUUAACCUUCGGGAGGGCGCUUACCACUUUGUGAUUCAUGACUGGGGUGAAGUCGUAACAAGGUAACCGUAGGGGAACCUGCGGUUGGAUCACCUCCUUACCUUAAAGAAGC